This 502-nucleotide long non-coding RNA is filed under the name Helianthus annuus (common sunflower). Lineage: Eukaryota; Viridiplantae; Streptophyta; Magnoliopsida; Asterales; Asteraceae. The record is from RNAcentral.
AUUUUUACAAGUCCCUUUUUAAGCUUAGAAGGAUUCAAGAAGGUAGCUACUUGUGGAGCUUCAAGAAGGGCUUUGUCUUGCUUGUUCUUCAUCUUUUCUCAUCAUCCUCCUCAAUAGAUUCUACCCUAGCUAUAAGCUAGUAGUAAGCUCUUGUUUAACCUUUGUUCAUCUUAUUUUAUGGCUAACAUUGUAGACGUGAUUGACCGACCUUGACUGUUAGCGAUAUUUGAGAAUCUAACCGAGCAAACCGAGGUGAGUUCACACUUUUCUACAAAGCAUGGUAAAUUCCCGGUGGGAAUGGGAAUGGGUACAGGAAUAGGGAUUCCUCGUCCUUUGAGACGUGUUCAGGAAUGUAAAUUCCUCGUCCUGUUGGGACGUGUUAAACUUACUGGACUAGAACUCUAUCAGCGAAGUCCCUCCCUUUUUGUAUCGACUUAAUCGCCGAGGCUAUGGCGAGCGGGUCAUUAGUUAAUAGCGCUAUUAGGUUUAACAAACCUCACAC